RNAcentral lists this ribosomal RNA (468 nucleotides) under uncultured bacterium. Its description in RNAcentral is "partial 16S ribosomal RNA". It matches the Rfam family "Bacterial small subunit ribosomal RNA", at positions 28 to 507 of the family's 1533-position model. The record is from RNAcentral.
GACGAACGCUGGCGGCGUGCUUAACACAUGCAAGCCGAACGGAAAGGCCCUGCUUUUGUGGGGUGCUCGAGUGGCGAACGGGUGAGUAACACGUGAGUAACCUGCCCUUGACUUUGGGAUAACUUCAGGAAACUGGGGCUAAUACCGGAUAGGAGCUCCUGCUGCAUGGUGGGGGUUGGAAAGUUUCGGCGGUUGGGGAUGGACUCGCGGCUUAUCAGCUUGUUGGUGGGGUAGUGGCUUACCAAGGCUUUGACGGGUAGCCGGCCUGAGAGGGUGACCGGCCACAUUGGGACUGAGAUACGGCCCAGACUCCUACGGGAGGCAGCAGUGGGGAAUAUUGCACAAUGGGCGGAAGCCUGAUGCAGCAACGCCGCGUGCGGGAUGACGGCCUUCGGGUUGUAAACCUCUUUCGCCUGUGACGAAGCGUGAGUGACGGUAAUGGGUAAAGAAGCACCGGCUAACUACGUG